RNAcentral lists this long non-coding RNA (1180 nucleotides) under Capra hircus (goat). RNAcentral's name for it is "lncRNA (ENSCHIG00000006943.1)". The record is from RNAcentral. Lineage: Eukaryota; Metazoa; Chordata; Mammalia; Artiodactyla; Bovidae.
CUCACAGUCGAGUCAUGCCAUCGCUUACACUAUCUUUCAGACUCUAUUUCCUGUGGGAGGACUGGAUGUGAUGAGACCCCAGAGCCAGCUUUGCCUCUUGCUACCAUGCUCCUUAAAGGCCAGAGUUGUUUUCAAGUCAACUUUUGGAGACUCUGGCAUAAUAAAUGUGAUGGCUAUGCCUGCCAGAUGGAAAUUAGAACUGUUUGCCACUAACACACCUUCUCUCCUGGCUGCUGCCAAUGUAGGAAGAGAUCUGGAAAGAGAGUGAAGGGGUAAGUGACUCAGUUCAGAUACAACAAGGGACACACCUGACAAAGCCCUUCUCUAUGUGUUUUUCCAGCUACUGAAUUCUCUUUCGGAUUGACUUUUGUCAAAUAGCUGUUCUAAAUGCCUGGCCAUUUUUAUGAGCCUCUUAGAAUCACCUUUUUAUUAGUUCUUUUGUCAUGUACUCCUCUAUUUUCAUUUGUUUAAUCAUGAAGAUCUUUUCAUCCUUUCAUUUUCCUAAUCAUACCAUCAUUCAUCUAGCUAAUCAACUAUCUAUUCAUCUGUCUGUUAGGUAGAAUAGGGAAACAGAGUCCAAAAUGGCGGUGGCUAAAAGACAAGAAAGGUCAAAGGAAGGUCCGAGGACCAGAGUGAAGACUUCAGGUAGAACAAAGAGCACUCCUGGCUAAGCCCAACUUGCACAGGGCAGGCCCAGGUGGAGGAAAACUUAUAAAAGGAGGAGCCAAAUCGCACUCUCUCUCUCUCCCUCUCCUACAUGCGUGUGCUCUUUCUCUUACUCUCUCUCUCUCUCUCUCUCUCUCUCUCUCUCUCCCCCUCUCCCAUGUGCUCCUCCACUCUCUUCCCUUCAAAUCUUUGUGUUGGCAUGCCCUCACGCUUCGAGGAUGGAUUCUCCUGCUAUCUACUAAAUAAAAUAGAGCUGUAACACUGAUUUGCCUAAGAGCUAUAACACGGUUUGUCCAAGACCCGAGAGCUGUGACGCGCCGAGGACUUUAAUGUCCAUCACUCCAAAUCUUUGUUGUGACGAGACAAAGAACCGAGGAACAUACACUCGCGUGACAUCUAUGGGGCCGUGACUCGGAUGUAACCUGGCUGAAACAACCUUCGUGUGGAAGAGGCCAAGCACAGCUGGAGCCCAACUCAGCGAAGCUCCCGCGGUAGAGGUGGACGUGAGAAUCCA